RNAcentral lists this unclassified non-coding RNA (213 nucleotides) under plant metagenome. RNAcentral's name for it is "partial contains small subunit ribosomal RNA, internal transcribed spacer 1, and 5.8S ribosomal RNA". The record is from RNAcentral.
UUUCCGUAGGUGAACCUGCGGAAGGAUCAUUCAUAAUAAGUGUUUUAUGGCACUUUUUUAAAUCCAUAUCCACCUUGUGUGCAAUGUCAGGGUUGAUUUUUCUCUCGAGAGGAUCAACCCCAAACAUCAACUAUAUCUCAACUCUUUGUCUGAAAAAUAUUAUGAAUAAAACAAUUCAAAAUACAACUUUCAACAACGGAUCUCUUGGCUCCC